UUAUUUUUUAUGGCCACACUCACAACAUAUGGAAGUUCCUGGGCCAGGGACUGAAUCCAAGGUUCCGUCCAGAGCAUUUAACCCCCUGCGCCAGCCAGGGAUUGAACCCACACCUCCACAGUGACCUCAGCCACCGUAGUCUGAUUCUUAAGCCAUUGUGCCACAGUGGGAACUCCCUAUUUUUAUUUUGAAUGUGCUAUCAGGAAAAAUAAUUGUGCAGUGACUUACAUUCUAUUUCUAUUCAUUAUAUUUUUAUUGGGCGUUAACUACAUCUCUGCUGCUCUAGACUAUAAAGCCCUUCGUUUUUCUCUAAUCUGGUCUCUGCCAUUCUCCUGCAGGAUUCUGAACUCUAGUCUUGCUGAACUUCUGGGAGUUCCUCACAUAGCAUGAUUUAAGUAAGUCCCUUAACUUCUCUGAGUCUCUUUCCUCAUUUGAAAAUUGAGCAUGCUAAUAAAACCUUCCUCAUAAGAUAUUUAUAAGAGUUAAACAGGAUGCUGCAUGUAAAAUGCCUUGAGAAGUUCAGCUUCAGCACUUAACAAAUAUUAGUUGUAAGUCAUUAAAAACAGAUCUCCUGAGUUCCACUUCCUGAACAGCAGGGUAAGUAUCUCUGCAGAACUGCUCUCUAAUGAAACAAGCACAACUGGUAAAAAUUGCUUUUAUAAAAAGUUUAAAUGUCUGGAGAACUUCAGUUUUAGGUCUAACAUCUAACAAACUCAUAAAGUGUCACUCCUAGACUUGCUAGAAGAAAAAAGCUGAACAACUUGAAAAUCAAUGACUUUUCCUGGUACCACCAGAAAACUGCAAUCACAGAGCAGAGCAUUACCCCAGAAUCUGAAGAGACAGAGGAAUACAGAGAGUCACAGCUAAGGUCAGCUUACCUAGAGCAGAAGCGACCAAAGGCAUAAACUAGUAGGAACCCUCAAAGAUUAAUUUUGAUGAGUUGCUGGAAUUAAUAUUUUCUUUUAUUUAUUUAUUUUUUGCUUAUUUAGGGCUGCAUCUGUGGCAUAUGGACGUUCCCAGGCUAGGGAUGAAUUGGAGCUACAUCUGCUGGCCUACACCACAGCCAUAGCAAUAUAGGAUCUGAGUGUGUCUGCCAUCUACACCAUGGCUCACGGCAACGCUGAAUCAUUAAUCCACUGAGUGAGGCCAGGGAUCAAAUCUGCAUCCUCAUGGAUACUAGUCGGGUUCAUUACUGCUGAGCCAUGAUAGGAACUUCCAAGAUUUUUAAAUAAUAUAUUCAUGUAAUUGUGGAGGCUGGCAAGUCCAAAGUCUGCAGGGCAAGGUUUUAGGCUAGAGCUCAAGGGAAGAGUUGAUAUUGUAUUCUCAAGUCCAAGGCCCAUCUGGAGGCAGAAAUUCUUCUCUCUCCUGGAGACUUUUAAGGCUUUUGACUGAUUAGAUGAGGCCCACCCAUAGCACUGAGGGUAAUUUGCUGUACACAAAGUCUGUUUAUUUAUUUAUUUAUUUAUUUAUUUAUUAUUUUGAAGGCCACACCAUGGCAUAUGGAAAUUACCAGGCUAGGGUCCAAUCGAGCUGUAGCCGCUGGCCUAUGCCACAGCCACAGCAACGCCAGAUCCAAGUUGCGUCUGCAACCUAUAGCGGAGAUCACAGCAAUGCCAGAUCCUUAACCUAGUGAGGCCAGGGGUUGAACCUGCAACCUCAUGGUUCCUAGUCAGAUUCGUUUCUGCUGAGCCAGAACAGGAACUCUGAAAGUCUCUCUAUUUAAAUGUUAAUCUCAUCUAAAAUAUAGCUAUAUAGCAACACCUGGAUGGGUGUCUGACCAAACAACCAGUCACCACAGCCUAGCAAAGUUGAUACAUAAAAUGAACCAUUAUGCUAAGCAUGGAACAAUCUGGAAAUGAGAGGUCCCAGGCUAAGGGGAGUUGCCACACAUUCAUGUGUUACCUCCAGGAAUUCCACCAGGUUCUCACUGUUAGAAUCAAGGGAGAGACUCUCGUGCCCUAGUGGGGUAUGAAAACAAUCUUUGGGAUCUACACCAAGGGUGGGGUGUUCUUCCCAAGACGGGCCUCUUUUUAGGGGAAAAGAUCUUAGCAGAGCCUUAUCUGACCUGGGAGAGACCAUGCAGCAUCCCUGCCUCUUGCAAAGGGGAUGGAAGUCCCUAAAGGUGACCCACGUAUCAGCACUGCUCCUGGGCCUGUGUGUAUUGCCUGUCUCUUAAAAAGAAACGGACAAAUUUAGGAUUCCAAAGAUCAAAGAUAAUAGACACAAUUCUGAACUUCCUAUGAGCUUCAGUCACUGAGCCGUGUCAAUUUAGAACAAGCCCAAUGCUCAGACACUGGAGAAGAACCCCGGCUGUCUCUUCGCUGAGACCCGAAAUGCUGGCUUUGGCCCCAAGCUGCCUCUGAACAAUGGGAGGGGCCCCUAGCCACCUCUGCCUUUCAUACUUUCUGCUCCACUCCUUCGCCAGCGAAUCCUUUUAUUAUGUUAAACUGGGACGUCAUUACUGGAAUUAGAAAGGAAAAUACCAGCUGCUUUGUCCUCCAGGAAGCACUAAUUAGCCAGCAGCCAGGAUCUCAAGCGACAAUGGGACUUGUGCAGGCUAAUUACCAGCUAGCUGCCUCCACACCCUGGGUGGCUCAAGCUCCAGCACCUGCACUUCAGGGCUGAGAUAUUUUUAGGAUCUGGAAUUUCCCCUGGCCCUUAGCUUGCUUUUGAUGUCUUCAUCACACAUCUCCUUUUGCAAUCGUUUCCUCGCUGGUCUCUGAUUUCCAGCCAACCCAUCUUGCACAAAAAAGCCAAAUUCAUUGCCUUAAAACACAGCUCCAAUCAUAUAAUUUCCCAACCCCAAUUUGUCAGCAUAAUCCCUGUGCUGUAAAUUACAGUCCAACCCAGAAGGCUUUAUAUAAAAGGACCCAAGCCCACCUUGCCAGCCUCCUGGCAGUCCUUGCCUUCCUUAGCAUCCCCACCCUCACCCCAAUUGGCACCUUCACCUCUGAUGUGCUCUUAUCAUUGCCGUGGGAGUGUUAAGGGCAGAAACAGUUUUUGGACUGAUAAAGACCAAUAAAGAAUCUGGAGGUGUGGGGAAAGUGUAACAAUCUAAAAGCUGCCUGGGGGACCCUAUCACUCAGCUGGGAUGGAGACUCUGGGGUAGGCAGUUCAGGAGGGACUGGAAUCAGGCUUGUGGGUAGGUCCAUGGAAGGUGUGUAUAUCUUCCAGCCAAAGCCUGCCACACAGCCCUCUCCAUCCCUCAUGGCCUAAUUGGGGUUUUGUAUUCUCACUAUGUUAUGACUUGCAUCUUCCCUUAAACUCUGACCACACAGACAUCCUGCUUAACAUCUGACCACACACUGACAUCCUGCUUCCCUCUUUCUAGACUCAUCUGGUGAGAGCGAGAGCUCACCACCGUGAAUUAGGUUUUGCCCAGGCCAGGUCCUAGUUUGUUACACCUCUUUGGACACUGUCUACACUGCAGUCCAACCUGCAGCCUCCAUUUUCUCCCCUCUGACCCAGCACCCACAUUUUCUCUGCUCAGAAGCCCUCUUAGCUCAGUCUGUUACAUGCAAAUGCUUAUAACAGGUGGCUCAAAUGGAAGUUAUCUCCAGAAACCAAGAUGCAAUUCAUGUGUGAUGGUGAAAUGAUGUGUCAGACCGCCUAGUGUAAAAUUUACAGAAGAAAAAUCUCCAUACAGGUUUCACUCUCUCAUCCCCUUAGUACAGAGAGAGAGGAAGUGUAUAUGUGUGGGAAAAAGAGAGAGAGAAGUGACCCUCCUGAUGUGAAUCUGGCUACCAUUUGGGGGGGGUCCCCACCCCUUACCACGCACCAGGUGUCUGUGGUUUUCUAACUUCUAUCCCAGAGUCAAGGAGAAGCCUAAGAUCUCUCUGGAGUUGGAGGUUGAGAGGCACCUGUACCUGCCUCUGAUGCUCCAGGGACCCUAGAGGCUGAGGUAGUUGCUGAUAAGCUCUGGCAUCAAAGGCAGGAGGGUAGGCAGCCCUAGUGCACUACCCUGGUCCAGCCUACCAGGAGCAGGAUACUGAUGUGUCUUCUGGACCAGAUUGGGGAGCAGGAGCCACACCAGGGAUGGGUGGGCAGAAAAGAAACAUGGCCCCCUAGGGACACACUACCAUGAUUGUAAUAGGAACUGUAGGUAACAAGAUCCCCAGGCAAGAGAAUUUCUCAAAAAAUACCCCUGGAAGAAAAGAGUUGGUUUUCCACCAUUGGUGCUUCCUCUUCCCUGCCUAGCCAGCCGGUCCAGUCCUGGUCUCAAUGGCUACAGUGGCUGUUGGCCCAGGCUGGCCCUCUGCCUCCCACAGCUGUGUCCUGAGCCAAGAAACACGUUUAUUCAAAACCAUAAUCAGUCUGAAAUUAAACAGAAGAGACCAGUCAUCAAAACUAAAAGAAGGGAAAAGCCAGGGUGGGGAGAGAAGCACAAUUCCAAUUCCUCCAUCUCCUGGCACGGAUCCCCAGCCCAUGUGCCCUGGUGGGGCUGCCUACAGCUGGGGAGGGGAGGGGUAGGGAGAGGUCCAGCCCUCUGAGGCUUCAGCUGCAGGUUGAUGCCUUGCACAGAGCUCCUCACUGAUGAAUCCAGCAGGGUCCGGGUUGCCAUUAUCUGGGAUGGACAGUAAAGUUAGGGCCUCCCUUGCUUCUUAGGACAACUGGGAAAGAGGCUACCUCUGCUAGCUAUAUCUCCAAGGGACAAUGGACUCCACAUCUACCUCUCAAUUCUCAAGGAGGUUUGUCCAUCACCUUUAUGCCAGCCCCUUCAGGAGCCUGCCUCACUACUGCAAAGCCUUGCUCCAUUGCUUUUCUCUCCGAAAAGGGCUUCCACUUUUUACCUUCUUUUUUGUUUUGCACUCCUUAUGGCCUGGUACUUAUGUCAGUGUGUACAUUUUAUUUCCCCUGCCACCGUCCCCUCUUAAACAGAGCAUUUAUUUGGUACCGACUCUGUACCAGCCACUGUGCAAAGUCCCUGCCCACCUUGUUGUUGCUGGAUUCCUGAAAUCUCUGAGGUUUAUUUGUCCUGGA
RNAcentral lists this long non-coding RNA (4980 nucleotides) under Sus scrofa (pig). RNAcentral describes it as "lncRNA (ENSSSCG00030046163.1)". The record is from RNAcentral. Lineage: Eukaryota; Metazoa; Chordata; Mammalia; Artiodactyla; Suidae.